GUACUCCAGCCUGGCGUCAGUGCAAGACCCCAUCUCAAAAAGAAAAAAAAAAAAGGAGAGAUAUACUUCUUCUUUUUCCUUUAAUUAUUUUUAAUUUUUUUUUAAAAGAGACAGGGUCUCACUAUGUUGCCUGGGCUGGUCUUGAACUCCUGAGUUCAAGGGAUCCUCCUGCCUCAGGCUUCCAAAGUGCUGGAAUUACAGGCAUGAGCCACCAUGCCCGGCCAAGAUACACUUCUUAGAAGGUAUUGUCAUCUUUAUUUAAGGCUCGGAGAGGUUGUUGCUUACCCAAGGUUACAUAGAACCAAGAUUCACACAGUUUUGUUGGACUUCUUCAAAGGAUACUGCCUUUUUUGGAAACAUGUUUUGAGCUCCAGGCAACAACCAAUGUUUGGAACCCACCUUAUUGCAUAAUUUGGGACUACCCUAAUCUUAAACCUCAUUGACAAUGAUUGGCUGCUUUUGACUCUAGAAAUGACUCUCCUGUGUCUCCUGAGUCCUAUUUGCCUAUCCAUUGGUUAAGAUCUGCUUUGGUCUAAACAGAGUUAAGGCCAGGCAUGGUGGCUCAUGCCUAUAAUCCCAGGGCUUUGGGAAGCCAAGGCGGAAGGAUCAUUUGAGCUCAGGAGUUCAAGACCAGCCUGGGCAACAUUGCCAAAUCUGGCCUCUAUAAAGAAAAAAACAAAAAACAAAAAACUGGGCGUGAGGAGUACCUGUAGUUCAAGUUACUCAGGAGGCUGAGGCAGGAGGAUCCCUUGAGUUCAGGAGCCUGAAGCUGCAGCGAGCUUUGAUUGCACUACUGCACUCCAGCCUGGAAAACAUGGUAAGACCCCGUCUCAAUAAAAUAAAAUAAAAUAAUAAAAUAAAAUAAAAUAAAAAUAGCCAGGCGCAGUGGCUCACGCCUGUAAUCCCAGCACUUUGGGAGGCCAAGGUGGGCAGAUCAUAAGGUCAGGAGUUCAAGACCAGCCUGGCCAAUAUGGAGAAACCCUGUCUCCACUAAAAAUACAAAAAAUUAGCCUGGUGUGGUGGCACAUGCCUGUAAUCCCAGCUACUCGGGAGGCUGAGGCAGGAGAAUUGCUUGAACCCAGGAAGUGGAGGUUGCAGUGAGCUGAGAUCGUGCCACUGCACUCCAGCCUGGGUGACAGAGUGAGACUCCAUCUCAAAGAACAACAAGAACAACAACAACAAACAACAGCAACAACAGCAGAGUUAGCUAUGAUAUGAUGCGUUCUUAUCCCCUACCCCUCAUGAUCUCCCGAAUCUUUCCCCCUCUUUCCUCCUGUCCCUCUGUCCUUCUCUUUCCUUCAUUUUUUAUAAGACUGGCAAGGUUCUGUCUUCUCUCACGAUAUAACAUCUUCAUCUUCUGCCCAGUUGGGCAUCAAACAAAUGAUUUUAUGAAAGAAAUCAAGACGAGACUGGGUUUGGUGGCUCAUGCCUGGAAUCCCAGCACUUUGGGAGGCUGAGGUGGGCGGAUCACCUGAGGUCAGGAGUUCGAGACCAGCCUGGCCAACAUGGGAAAAGCUGGUCUCUACUAAAAAUAUAAAAAUUAGCUGAGCAUGGUGGCGCAUGCUUGUAAUCCCAGCUACUUGAGAGGCUGAGGCACAAGAAUUGCUUGAACCCAGGAGGCAGAGGUUGCAAGACAGGAGGCAAAGUCGGUGAUUCUCAGUCAUUUUCCCUGCAGCCCACUUCCCCCACUUCUGCCCUCAUUCAGCCCAUACCCCAAUUUUUCCUACCUCUUCCCUCACCUUCUUACUUCCUGCCUCUCCCCAGCUAGGGAGGUUUUCCCAUAGCUGGAGAUUUUCCCUAAAGGGACGAAGCCUAGGGAAGGAGGAUAAAGGCAUAGAAUAGACCCAGUGUGGAAGAGGCGUGAGGGUGAGGGGCACUUGGGCAAGGUGCAUGGAUGGAAAUGAAGGAGAGGAAAGGUCUUCCCAUCUACACAGGGCUGAGGAUGCACAGCUUCAGAGUGACCACAAGGACGCUGAGGAAAGAGCAGUGGGGAUGGAAUGAGACAGACAUGGAAGGCAGGAGGGGGCCUGCAGAGAGGCAGAGUCACAGAGCGCACGACACAAGGCUGAGGCAGGUGACAACACAGACAUUCUGGAGAACAGAAGGGCAUUCAGGGAGGAGAGCCAAGGCCACAUAGGGUUGACUUUUUUUUUUUAAAGGAUUAAGAAUGAAUCACUGUUUUCAUAAGCAUCAGUGCACAUGCCAUAUGUUAGGUGUUGCCGGAGUAGAAAACCCCAGAACACGACUUAGAACAGGCCCAACAGCCUCAUGCUCUGCCCUGACGGGGCCCUGUGGGAGAGCUCCUGGGCUUAGCUUUCCCCAGAGAUGAGGUAAUGCUCCUCAGGCAUCUCUGGGGACGUGAUCUUCACCCCCUCCCUCCUCUAAAGUGAAAUCCAAACCAAUAUAAACCCUGUAAACCUUCCUUGACGGCUCCAAGGUUAGAAGAGAAGUGGAAGUUAGCCACAUCAUUAAUAACAGAUCCCCUGGUGAAGGCUCAGUAAACACUCGGAAAUUAAUAACAGAGAAAAGAGGAGCAGGAUAGUAAUUUGGAUCAUAGACUCCUUUGAAAAUCUGAAGAAAGCUAUAGACUCUCUCCCCAGAAAAAAGCACAUGUACAUAUACACACCAGCUUCAAUAAGAUAGUGUCUGGAUGUUUGUUAAAAUCCUGAGGCCAAGGCCAAGGGUUGAGGGGCCAUGGACCCCUGAAUAAGAAGCCCUGACUUAGAGUAUAUGAAAUAGUUUUGCAUCUGUGAUCUGUUUUGUCCAGCCAAGGCCCUGGAGAUAGGGCAGAUGCUGCCUGCGUGGGACAGGCAAAGAGACCUGGGCACAGAGGAGGACUGACUUGCUCCCUGCCUGUGCGAGGAGGUAGCGUGGAGCUAAAUUUAGAACGCCUACCUCCAUGGCCAGUCUUGUCUUAUCACUCACUGUAAAUUUGGAACCUGCUGUUAGACAAACUUUUCAUUUUUUCUUACAUUUUUAGGUAGUUAAUUGGGGUUUUUAGAAAAGGGGAGAAAUUAAAGGCCGGGAGUGACAGCUCACACCUGUAAUCCCAGCACUUGGGGAGGCCGAGGAGGAAGGAUCGCUCGAGCCCAGGAGUUUGAGACCAGCCUUGGCAAUAUAGUGAGACCCAGUCUCUAUAAAAAAAAAUAACAAUAAUAAAAUAAAAUAAAAUAAUAAUGGCUCGGCGCAGUGGCUCACGCCUGUAAUCCCAGCACUUUGGGAGGCUGAGGUGGGCGGAUUACCUGAGGUCAGGAGUUCGAGAUCAGCCUGGGCAACACGGUGAAACCCCAUCUUUACUAAAAAUACAAAAUCAGCCGGGCGUGGUGACACAUGCCUGUAAUCCCAGCUACUCAGGAGGCUGAGGCAGGAGAAUCGCUUGAACCUGGGAGGCAGAGGAUGCGGUGAGCCAACAUUGCGCCAUUGCACUCCAGCCUGGGCAACGAGUAAAUCUCCGUCCCGCCAAAAAAAAAGAAAAAAAAAAAAUAAUAAAAAUUAACUAGGCAUGGUGGUGUGUGCCUGUAGUCCCAGCUACUUGGGAGGCUGAGAUGGGAGGAUAGCUUGAGCCCAGGAGUUUGAGGCUGCAGUGAGCUGUGAUGGUGCCACUGCACUCCAGUUUGGGCGACAGAGCAAGACCCUGUCUCAAAAACGAAACAAAACAAACAAAAAAAAAGGAAAGAAAAGAGGAGAAAAGACUAUAUUUUCAGGGCUUCAGGGAUCAUUUCUACAGUUUCUUACUAGACAAGUUUUUCUGAACGUGUAGAGCACUAAAAUCAGGCCUGGUGUGGUGGUUCACGCCUGUAAUCCCAGCACUUUGGGAGGCCGAGGUGGGUGGAUCACCUGAGGUCAGGAGUUUGAGACCAGCCUGGCCAACAUGGUGAAACCCUGUCUCUACUAAAAAUACAAGAAUUAGCUGGGCAUGGUGGCGCUUGCCUGUAAUCUCAGCUACUUGAGAGGCUGAGGCAGAGGAAUCACUUGAACCCAGGAGGCAGAGGAGGCAGUGAGCCGAGAUCGAGCCGUUGCACUACUGCCUGGGCAACAAUAGCGAAACUCCGUCUCAAAAAAAAAAAAAAAUAGGACUCCAUCCAGUCAUCACUGGAAGUGAGCUGACUGGAGCUAAACUUCAGAACUGUGUGAGCUGAGCGGUUACAAGACAUUAGGAAGCUAAAAAAACUGGUGGAUGAAGUUGUUAAGAGUAUGAAACCCAAAUCAACAGCCACCAUGUUUUCAAAACAGAUUUGUAAAAAUUGCAUUUGUUACACUGUACAGAAACUUUUUUUUUUUUUUUUUUGAGAUGGUGUUUUGCUCUUGUUGCCUAGGCUGGAGUGCAGUGGUGUGAUCUCAGCUCACUGCAAUCUCCACCUCCUGGGUUCAAGCGAUAUUCCUGCCUCAGCCUCCUGAAUAGCUGGGACUACAGGUGCCCACCACCGCACCCGGCUAUUUUUUUUUUUUUUUUGAGAUGGAGUUUGCUCUUGUUACCCAGGCUGGAGUGCAAUGGUACUAUCUUGGCUCACUGCAACGUCUGCCUCCUAGGUCCAAGCGAUUGUCCUACCUCAGCCUCCCGAGUAGCUGGGAUUACAGGCAUGCGCCACCACACCUGGCUAAUUUUGUAUUUUUAGUAGAGAUGGGGUUUCACCAUGUUGAUCAGGCUGGUCUCAAACUCCCAACCUCAGGUGAUCCACCCACCUCUGCCUCCCAAAGUGCUGGGAUUACAGGCAUGAGCCCCCAAGCCUGACCAGAGGCUUUUUAAAUUAAAUAAAUAUCAAACUACAUUCUUAAAAAGGAAAAAAGUGGGGGAGAAAUUAGAUUGUGCUUCCUCUUUACCCUUUUGUGACAUCACCAGCACAUUCUCACAGCUUCUUCUUCCUUCUACACUCAAAAUACAAGAUGAGGAGAAAUCUGCUGGGUUUGAGAUCCAGUAAGAAAGAAAGUGCCUCUUAAUAGAAGGUAAUAGGAAUAACAGCCAUCCAUAUUACAACUGCUGCUUCUUUCCCAUUGUCAGAAAAAUGGGGUCCAUUUAUGACUGGAUGACAAAUCCUACAGGGCUGAGAGUUAAUAGAAACCCUGCAAUGCAGUUAGGACGUGCUGACUUUUUGUGCAGUCUUUUAACGGGCGCAAGGACCAGGCAACCUUCCAGCCACUUAACAGUCUGAAAACUCUUCUUGCCUAGUAGGUCCUCUGUUUCCUUUAGUGUUUAAUAAUGGAAUAAUGUGUGCUCAUAACAGGUAAGUCAUGGAAAAUGAGCGUGAUACUGCAUUAGAGGUUAUACUUCAUGAGGAGAUGAACUGGUGUGAGCUUACGUUUUGUUUUGUUGGGAUUUUAUUUUGUUGGGACUUUUUUUUUUUUUUUCACCGUGUUAGCCAGGAUGGUCUCCAUCUCCUGACCUCAUGAUCCGCCUGCCUCGGCCUCCCAAAGCGCUGGGAUUACAGGCUUGAGCCACCGUGCCCGGCCACAAGAUGGGUUUUCAUUCAGCAAGCACAUAGGUGUUUGCUGUAUGAUGAAUGGGGCGUAAUUUAAAAUUUAGUGGGAUGUCUUAUAAAUGACGUGGCUUUUUCUGGAACCUAUAGAACAUAGAAAUGACAAAGAGCAUACAGUGCCAAUGUUCACUGAAUGAGCAUUUAUUGAGCACAUAUUAUGUUCUGGACAAUGAAGAAACAUAAUCUCUCUCUACUGUUGAACAACUCAGUCCUACAGGAGAAAUAUAUUUAAAUAUAUAUAUAGUUUGCUUGUUUUGUUUUGUUUUUUGACACAAAGCCUCGCUCUGUUGCCCAGGCUGGAGUGCAGUGGCACUAUCACGGCUCACUGUAGCCUCCCAGGCUCAAGUGAUCCUUCUGCCUCAGGCUCCUGACUAGCUGGGACUGUCAGCAUGCGCCACUAUGCCUGGCUAAUUUUCAUAAUUAUUAUUUUUUUGUAGAGACAGGGUCUUAUAAUGUUGCCCAGAGUGGUCUCCAACUCCUGGGCUCAAGCAAUCCUCCCUCCUCAGCCUCCCAAAGUUCUGGGAGUAUAGGUGUGAGCCUGAGGUGGGAGGAUCAUUUGAACCUGGGAGGCUUCCAUGAGUCAUGAUUGUGCAACUGCACUCCAGCCUGGGCAACAGAGGAAGACCUUGUUGCUCAAAAAUAUAUAUUUUGAGACAGGGUCUCACACUGCUUUCUAGGCUAGAGGUAGUGGUGUGACCACGGCUCAUUGCAGCCUCCAACUCCAGGGCUCAAUCAAUCCUCCCACCUCAGCCUCCUGAGUAGCUGGGAGUACAGGUGCAUGCCACCAUACUGGCUAAUUUUUUCUUUCUUUCUUCCUCUCUUUCUUUCUUUUUCUUUCUUUUCUUUCUUUCUCUUUCUUUCUUUCUCUUUCUUUUUCUUUCUUUUCUUCCUUUCUUCCUUUCUUCCUUUCUCUUUCCUUCUUUGUUUGUUUCUUUCUUUCUUCCUUCCUUCCUUCCUUCCUUCCUUCCUUCCUUCCUUCCUUCCUUUCUUUCUUUCUUUCUUUCUUUCUUUCUUUCUUUCUUUCUUUCUUUUCUUUUUUCCUCUCUUCCUUUCUUUCUUUCAAAAGAGUCUCACUCCAUUGCCAGGCUGGAGUGGAGUGGCGUGAUCUUGGCUCGCUGCAACCUCGUCUCCCAGGUUCAAGUGAUUCUCCUGCCUCAGCUUCCCGAGUAGCUGGGACUACAGGCGCACACCACCAUGCCCAGCUAAUUUUUUGUAUUUUUAGUAGAGCCUGGGUUUCACCAUGUUGGCCAGGAUGGUCUCGAUCUCUUGACCUCGUGAUCUGCACGCUUCAGCCUUCCAAAGUGCUGGGAUUACAGGCGUAAGCCACCGCGCCUGGCUCAUACUGGCUAAUUUUUUAAUUUUAUGUAGAGAUGGGGGCUCACUAUGUAGCCCAAGCUCCAGUCCAUAUUAACAACUAUGGUAAUUACAAUUCGAGGUAAUUAGGAAUGCUUAGGUAGAGUCCAGGUAAGCAAGCCAUUCUCUUCGUUAAGUGCUAAAAUGGGUGCUCUGAUGAUUUCCAUGUAGGAACUGAAAUAAUGUAGAAUUCAUGGAGAGAAGAUGGGGAAGGAUAUUGUAAGGAGAAGGAAUAGCAUGAGCCAAGCUUCGGAGGUGUGACCAUGUGUGACCUCUUUAGGUGAUGAUGGGUAAUGUACAGUCUUGCUUCUCAAAGCAUAGUCCCUAGACAAGCAGCAAUCUCAUCACCUUGAGAUUUUGUUAGGAGGCAGAUCCUGAUUUAGUAGGUCUGGGGAGGGACCCAAGAUUCUGCAUUCCUCACAAGUUCCUGGAUGAAUGUUGACACUGACAGUUCAUGGACCACAGUCAUUCCCGCCAUUCUAGGAGCAUGCAGCCAAUCCGAUAAGCAAUGUCUGUAGGGUAAGUCCACCCAAGUGCUGUUUUUACCUUUGGAAUUCUCUCCCCUCAUCCAUAGACAUACGUUCAUAGGACUGUUAAUUAUUGCCACUCAUCUUGAAUUCCCUGGCUAAGAAGUUAUUAUUGAACGGCUGUAAAUAUGCUGGGGCUUGGGAGAUUCAGGGGAGCAAGGAGAAAUGACUAAAACAAACACUCCGUGGUGUCAAGAUACAAAGCAGAUGGCCUGUGUCUUAGCACACUUGACACAGUGCCUCAGAACCUGCUGGGACAAUUGUUCAUGCAUUUAUUCACUCAAUCCUUCAACCCUGUGCCUAGUUCUGUAUGCUCAGAACUGGGGGUCUGGGGAAGGGGUUGGUGUGGGAUGGUGAGGAGGGAAAAGGGACUAUUUUGACCUGGAUUUGAACCCAAACUUGGAAAGCAGUUUUCCUUAGCUAGAUGAUUCUGAGGCAGAACGAAAGCAAAAGCGGGACCUGGGUUCUCUGUGGGAUCUGAAUAGCUGUGGGAUAGGCGCCCCAUGUAGAGGACUGAUGAGGUGUCACUGAAUUGUGGAGAGAUGAUGUACACGCUU
This 7911-nucleotide long non-coding RNA is filed under the name Homo sapiens (human). Its description in RNAcentral is "HSALNT0101851". The record is from RNAcentral. Lineage: Eukaryota; Metazoa; Chordata; Mammalia; Primates; Hominidae.